GGGAUAUGCGUGUGUGUGUGUGUGUGUGUGUGUGUGUGUGUGUGUGUGUGUGUUUCCUGGCCUCUGCUCCAGUUUUCAGCCAGAUCCC
RNAcentral lists this microRNA precursor (88 nucleotides) under Notamacropus eugenii (tammar wallaby). Its description in RNAcentral is "miRNA (ENSMEUG00000017855.1)". The record is from RNAcentral. Lineage: Eukaryota; Metazoa; Chordata; Mammalia; Diprotodontia; Macropodidae.